AUUGAACGCUGGCGGCAGGCCUAACACAUGCAAGUCGAACGGUAACAGGAAGCAGCUUGCUGCUUUGCUGACGAGUGGCGGACGGGUGAGUAAUGUCUGGGAAACUGCCUGAUGGAGGGGGAUAACUACUGGAAACGGUAGCUAAUACCGCAUAACGUCGCAAGACCAAAGAGGGGGACCUUCGGGCCUCUUGCCAUCGGAUGUGCCCAGAUGGGAUUAGCUAGUAGGUGGGGUAACGGCUCACCUAGGCGACGAUCCCUAGCUGGUCUGAGAGGAUGACCGGCCACACUGGAACUGAGACACGGUCCAGACUCCUACGGGAGGCAGCAGUGGGGAAUAUUGCACAAUGGGCGCAAGCCUGAUGCAGCCAUGCCGCGUGUAUGAAGAAGGCCUUCGGGUUGUAAAGUACUUUCAGCGGGGAGGAAGGGAGUAAAGUUAAUACCUUUGCUGAUUGACGUUACCCGCAGAAGAAGCACCGGCUAACUCCGUG
RNAcentral lists this ribosomal RNA (490 nucleotides) under uncultured bacterium. Its description in RNAcentral is "partial 16S ribosomal RNA". It matches the Rfam family "Bacterial small subunit ribosomal RNA", at positions 30 to 507 of the family's 1533-position model. The record is from RNAcentral.